AUUGAACGCUGGCGGCAGGCCUAACACAUGCAAGUCGAACGGUAACAGGAAGAAGCUUGCUUCUUUGCUGGCGAGUGGCGGACGGGUGAGUAAUGUCUGGGAAACUGCCUGAUGGAGGGGGAUAACUACUGGAAACGGUAGCUAAUACCGCAUAACGUCGCAAGACCAAAAAGGGGGACCUUCGGGCCUCUUGCCAUCGGAUGUGCCCAGAUGGGAUUAGCUAGUAGGUGGGGUAACGGCUCACCUAGGCGACGAUCCCUAGCUGGUCUGAGAGGAUGACCAGCCACACUGGAACUGAGACACGGUCCAGACUCCUACGGGAGGCAGCAGUGGGGAAUAUUGCACAAUGGGCGCAAGCCUGAUGCAGCCAUGCCGCGUGUAUGAAGAAGGCCUUCGGGUUGUAAAGUACUUUCAGCGGGGAGGAAGGGAGUAAAGUUAAUACCUUUGCUCAUUGACGUUACCCGCAGAAGAAGCACCGGCUAACUCCGUG
RNAcentral lists this ribosomal RNA (490 nucleotides) under uncultured bacterium. RNAcentral describes it as "partial 16S ribosomal RNA". It matches the Rfam family "Bacterial small subunit ribosomal RNA", at positions 30 to 507 of the family's 1533-position model. The record is from RNAcentral.